This 69-nucleotide transfer RNA is filed under the name Camelus ferus (Wild Bactrian camel). It matches the Rfam family "tRNA". Rfam says of the family: Transfer RNA (tRNA) molecules are approximately 80 nucleotides in length. The record is from Rfam by way of RNAcentral. Lineage: Eukaryota; Metazoa; Chordata; Mammalia; Artiodactyla; Camelidae.
GGAGGAAUAGCUCAGUGGCAGAGUGCAUGCUUAGCAGGCAGGUCCUGGGUUCCAUCCCCAUUAUCUCCA